AGUGAACGCUGGCGGUAGGCCUAACACAUGCAAGUCGAACGGCAGCACAGUAAGAGCUUGCUCUUACGGGUGGCGAGUGGCGGACGGGUGAGGAAUACAUCGGAAUCUACUUUUUCGUGGGGGAUAACGUAGGGAAACUUACGCUAAUACCGCAUACGACCUACGGGUGAAAGCAGGGGAUCUUCGGACCUUGCGCGAUUGAAGGAGCCGAUGUCGGAUUAGCGAGUUGGCGGGGUAAAGGCCCACCAAGGCGACGAUCCGUAGCUGGUAUGAGAGGAUGAUCAGCCACAGUGGAACGGAGAAACGGUACAGACACAUAGGGGAGGCAGCAGUGGGGAAUAUUGGACAAUGGGAGCAAGCAUGGUCCAGAAAUACCGCGUGGGUGCAGAAGGUGGUCGGGUUGUAAAGCCGUUUUGUUGGGAAAGAAAAGCAGCAGGUUAAUACCCCGCUGUUCUGACGGUACCCAAAGAAUAAGCACCGGCUAACUUCGUG
This 492-nucleotide ribosomal RNA is filed under the name uncultured bacterium. RNAcentral describes it as "partial 16S ribosomal RNA". It matches the Rfam family "Bacterial small subunit ribosomal RNA", at positions 29 to 507 of the family's 1533-position model. The record is from RNAcentral.